RNAcentral lists this ribosomal RNA (690 nucleotides) under Russula sp. Its description in RNAcentral is "eukaryotic LSU rRNA". The stretch from base 257 to 410 matches the Rfam family "5.8S ribosomal RNA". The record is from RNAcentral. Lineage: Eukaryota; Fungi; Basidiomycota; Agaricomycetes; Russulales; Russulaceae.
GUCAUUAGAGGAAGUAAAAGUCGUAACAAGGUUUCCGUAGGUGAACCUGCGGAAGGAUCAUUAUCGUACAAUGGAGCCAUCUAGGGCUGUCGCUGGCCUUUUACAGGUUGUGCACGCCCUAAAUGGUCUCUUCUUAUCCAUCUCACCCCAUUGUGCAUCACCGCGUGGGACCUCCUAUCAGGGGUCUUGCGUUUUUACAACAAACACCAUUUUAUGCAUGUGUAGAAUGUCUUUUGCGAUUAUAUGCAAUUAAUAUAACUUUCAACAACGGAUCUCUUGGCUCUCGCAUCGAUGAAGAACGCAGCGAAAUGCGAUACGUAAUGUGAAUUGCAGAAUUCAGUGAAUCAUCGAAUCUUUGAACGCAUCUUGCACCCCUUGGUAUUCCAAGAGGUACACCCGUUUGAGUGUCGUGACACCAUCAACCUUCUUGGUUUCUUGACCAGAAAGGCUUGGACAUUGGAGGUUUUUCUUGCCGGCUUACAUUGUGAGUCGGCUCCUCCUAAAUGAAUUAGUGGGAUCCGCUUUGCUGAUCCUUGACGUGAUAAGUAUCCUUCUACGUCUUGGUUCUUUUGCAAUGUUACCCACUUCAAACCGUCUUCAAAUCAAAGACAAUGUUCGAGUUGACUCGACCUCAUUGACCUUGACCUCAAAUCGGGUGAGACUACCCGCUGAACUUAAGCAUAUCAAUAA